CAUAUGGUUAUGCUCCACAGGAAGAACUAGAGAUCAAGGCCAUCAGGAUGUGCCAAUAAGACGGAGACAGGAUCACUAAUAAGCUUGGGGGUGCCUCUCCUCUGUAGGUCAGGGUUGAUGGUAGACAAGGUUUUCUCAGAUUUGAGCUUUGUAUGACCUCUAAGUAACAGAGAAUGGAACUCAUCUUUCACUUCUGAAUGAGCUCCUCACUGUAAUUGAUGGCAUUUCCUGAAAUGGCUGCGAUCAUUAGGGCUCCAGUGA
RNAcentral lists this long non-coding RNA (261 nucleotides) under Homo sapiens (human). Its description in RNAcentral is "non-protein coding lnc-C5orf30-2:1". The record is from RNAcentral. Lineage: Eukaryota; Metazoa; Chordata; Mammalia; Primates; Hominidae.